GUGGAUUAGAUACCCUGGUAGUCCAUGCCGUAAACGUUGGGCGCUAGGUGUGGGACUCAUUCCACGAGUUCCGUGCCGCAGCUAACGCAUUAAGCGCCCCGCCUGGGGAGUACGGCCGCAAGGCUAAAACUCAAAGGAAUUGACGGGGGCCCGCACAAGCGGCGGAGCAUGCGGAUUAAUUCGAUGCAACGCGAAGAACCUUACCAAGGCUUGACAUACACCGGAAUCAUGCAGAGAUGUGUGCGUCUUCGGACUGGUGUACAGGUGGUGCACGGUUGUCGCCAGCU
RNAcentral lists this ribosomal RNA (287 nucleotides) under uncultured bacterium. Its description in RNAcentral is "partial 16S ribosomal RNA". It matches the Rfam family "Bacterial small subunit ribosomal RNA", at positions 773 to 1060 of the family's 1533-position model. The record is from RNAcentral.